RNAcentral lists this ribosomal RNA (489 nucleotides) under marine sediment bacterium ISA-6369. RNAcentral's name for it is "bacterial SSU rRNA". It matches the Rfam family "Bacterial small subunit ribosomal RNA", at positions 37 to 521 of the family's 1533-position model. The record is from RNAcentral.
UGGCGGCGUGCCUAAUACAUGCAAGUCGAGCGGACCUCUUCGGAGGUCAGCGGCGGACGGGUGAGUAACACGUGGGCAACCUGCCUGUAAGACUGGGAUAACUCCGGGAAACCGGAGCUAAUACCGGAUACUAUGUCAAACCGCAUGGUUUGACAUUCAAAGACGGUUUCGGCUGUCACUUACAGAUGGGCCCGCGGCGCAUUAGCUAGUUGGUGAGGUAAUGGCUCACCAAGGCGACGAUGCGUAGCCGACCUGAGAGGGUGAUCGGCCACACUGGGACUGAGACACGGCCCAGACUCCUACGGGAGGCAGCAGUAGGGAAUCUUCCGCAAUGGACGAAAGUCUGACGGAGCAACGCCGCGUGAGUGAUGAAGGUUUUCGGAUCGUAAAACUCUGUUGUCAGGGAAGAACAAGUGCCGGAGUAACUGCCGGCACCUUGACGGUACCUGACCAGAAAGCCACGGCUAACUACGUGCCAGCAGCCGCGGU